GAUGAAGAACGUAGCGAAAUGCGAUAAGUAAUGUGAAUUGCAGAAUUCAGUGAAUCAUCGAAUCUUUGAACGCACAUUGCGCCCGCUAGUAUUCUGGCGGGCAUGCCUGUCCGAGCGUCAUUUCAACCCUCAAGCCCCCGGGCUUGGUGUUGGGGAUCGGCGAGCCUCCGCGCCCGCCGUCCCCUAAAUCUAGUGGCGGUCUCGCUGUAGCUUCCUCUGCGUAGUAGCACACCUCGCACUGGGAAACAGCGCGGCCACGCCGUUAAACCCCCAACUUCUGAACGUUUGACCUCGGAUCAGGUAGGAAUACCCGCUGAACUUAAGCAUAUCAAUAGGCGGAGGA
This 343-nucleotide unclassified non-coding RNA is filed under the name soil metagenome. RNAcentral's name for it is "partial contains 5.8S ribosomal RNA, internal transcribed spacer 2, and large subunit ribosomal RNA". The stretch from base 1 to 120 matches the Rfam family "5.8S ribosomal RNA", at positions 35 to 154 of the family's 154-position model. The record is from RNAcentral.